UUCAGGUACGGUGAUAUGGUACCUGCCACCAUAGCUGGAAAGAUUGUAGGUGGUGUAUGUUCCCUUAGCGGCGUGCUGGUAAUCGCUCUUCCAGUACCAGUAAUAGUAUCUAAU
This is a non-coding RNA of Dendroctonus ponderosae (mountain pine beetle), 114 nucleotides long. NCBI's taxonomy places the organism in Eukaryota, Metazoa, Arthropoda, Insecta, Coleoptera, Curculionidae. The record is from Rfam.